This is a long non-coding RNA of Felis catus (domestic cat), 2289 nucleotides long. RefSeq lists it as uncharacterized. The record is from RefSeq and is a predicted model, not a curated record. The transcript has 3 exons. Lineage: Eukaryota; Metazoa; Chordata; Mammalia; Carnivora; Felidae.
GCUCUGCCUGCCGGCCUAGAGGCCACUCCCUGAUUACAGAGCUCGGCCUCCAUUCUGGGCGUCCCAGCUCUGGGGUUUGGACACCACAUUCUGAAUCCGGGCCCCGUGGCUCAUCCCCACCGGUGCUCCCCAGGCUUCGGUCCUGGGCCUCUGUCUCCUCCCCGUGAGCCGAGCCUGCUCAGGCCCUUCCCCGGAGCCAGCCUGGGCGUGCGGUGGUGCGGGACACGGGCGGACGAAGGCGCACAGAUACCGUCUGCUGACCGUCUGGUGAUGAUGUCACUGACCACAAUUAUGGCUAAACAUGAGGAUUGGGCGUGAAUUUUAAUUUUUGUCGCUAAUUGGGAAGAGCGUGCAUCUCUCCAAUUAAGUGAUUUCCCUCAGACAGACUUGUCCCCAGGGACGUGUGUUUGUAAGGCGAUUAUCCGGGACAGAAUUACAGACUGCACCUGCAGAACAGAGCAAGGCCGUGACUUUGACUUUGUCGGCAUCAUGCGUGAAUUAAACACGGAGUCCUGUUCUCCAACAUGAGCUUUAUUUGGGGAUUUAGGUCUUGAAAAUGGUCGUUAGGGGCUCCGUGUCCUGGCAGGCUCCACGGGCAGCUCCGGGCCUGUCAGGAAUGUGGGGUGGUUUCCAGAACCUGGCUGUGCCAGCCGCAGAGCACCCCUCCCCCCACCGAGCUGGAGAAUGCGAGUGUGUGUGCACACACGUGUCCCUCGCCCUCUUCCUCAGAGGCUGGCACACUAUGCGCUACAAACGUGUGGGCGUUUUUAGACUUUGUUUCUCCAAGGGAGGGACUUUAAACGCUGAGUUUCCUCCUUGGAGGAAUCUGAAUUGUGCAUUAGCAGAAACUACUCAGAUCAAAUAAAGCUCUUGUGAGUUCUGCAAGACCUGGAACUGUGGGAGCCGCUGGCCGCUGUGUGGCGGGUUGGAAGUACGUUCACGCACGCGCAGCCAAGCAGAUCUUCCACGGGCUGUAGAGCCUUUUCUGCACCUGCUGCUGGAAGUUGUUACCUCAAGUGAGCCGUUUGUGUGACUCUUCGUAAGGAACAUGAGUCACAUGAAAGGGCACAUUGCCUUCGGGGACAUAAUCAAAUGCCUGAAUGACAAGUAUGAAGAGUGUCACCCUCAAUGACACCUUGGAAUCCUCAAACCAUUUUUCGUGGAGCCCGUCAGCAGGUGGAUGAUGGCCGGUAACACACAGGGAGAGCAGCAGAGGGGGCAGACGAUGCGGCGUUUCCCCGGUUUCUGUCCAUGAGUUCUGUGGAAGCCGUGUGCCCAGGCCGAGCUCCAGGACCGGCGCCUGCUGACAGGGAGAGGGGCCGUCUCUCCCAGCUGGGGUGCGGGCACUCUGCCCAUCGGAUCUGAGGUCUUGUAGCCACCGGGUGCCCCCUUUGGUAAAAAAUCUACUGCUCCUUCCAGUAGGCAUCAGCAUGCGUAAGGGCCAGCCCGUAACCCCCAAGUGACAGGUGCCCCCCAAGAAGGACCCUCAACCGUGUCUCACCAGGAACUGAGGUGAGAGCUGUUGCUCCGGUCUGAAUUCAAACAGGUUCCCCUUGGGAGAAGACUGCUCACCUGGCGCUGCUCAGCAAGGCCCCCUGUCUGCAGACCAGUCCCCUCACAUGCGACUUCAAAUCGCAGGAAAGACUUGCCCUGAGAGGAAGCAUCUCGAGGGAGCACAUCGGGGUCUGCGCCGGACAGGAGGGGCUGAUCUGUAAGAAGAGAACCAAAAUGUCUGGACCUCUCAUCACACUCAGUACUGGUUACACUAACUGCGGGACCCAGAGCAAGAUGAAAACGUGAGGCCCCCGUCCACAGUCGUGAACGAUUUCAAGACAGUAAUCGAAGAGCAUGAUCCAUGCAUGAGGCCUCCCAGAUUGUGGCCCCUUGAGCAUGGACCCCCUGAGCCCAGCCUCUUUGUUCUGCAGAAGAACUUCAACUCUAAGUAGACAGUGAAAAGUUAAACUUCUAAAUUGAUUUAUUAACUCCAGCGACUACAUAGUCACACAGCUGUACAGAGUGACAUAGACCAGACCCAACAGAGAGGUUAACAUGGAAGAGUAAAAAAUAUUCUAAGAAUUCUAAGAAAGACAGAAAGGGAGAAAGAAAACAAUGAAAAAUAUAGGGGACAAACAAAACAAUAAAAUAGUAAACUUGUAUCCAAACAUAUUAGUAACUGAAUUAAAUACAAAUGGCUUAAACAUAUUAAAAAAGAGAGAUUAUCUGGGGCUCCUGGGUGGCUCAAUUGGGUGAGCGUUGACUUUGGCUCAGGUCAUGAUCUCAUGGUUCGCA